Molecule: ribosomal RNA, 301 nt
Filed under: uncultured bacterium
Lineage: Bacteria
Description: partial 16S ribosomal RNA
Rfam family: Bacterial small subunit ribosomal RNA
Source: RNAcentral
CAGUCGCCGCGGUAAUACAGAGGGUGCAAGCGUUAAUCGGAAUUACUGGGCGUAAAGCGCGCGUAGGUGGUUUGUUAAGUUGGAUGUGAAAUCCCCGGGCUCAGCCUGGGAACUGCAUCCAAAACUGGCAAGCUAGAGUAUGGUAGAGGGUGGUGGAAUUUCCUGUGUAGCGGUGAAAUGCGUAGAUAUAGGAAGGAACACCAGUGGCGAAGGCGACCACCUGGACUGAUACUGACACUGAGGUGCGAAAGCGUGGGGAGCAAACAGGAUUAGAUACCCCUGUAGUCCCUGUCUCUUAUAC